This 72-nucleotide transfer RNA is filed under the name Gammaproteobacteria bacterium. Its description in RNAcentral is "tRNA-OTHER". Lineage: Bacteria; Pseudomonadati; Pseudomonadota; Gammaproteobacteria. The record is from RNAcentral.
AAUUGGUAGACACGCAGCCUUGAGGGGGCUGUAGCGUAAGCUGUGAGAGUUCGAGUCUCUCCUUCGGCACCA